GGCUCGGUGGCGCAUGGAUGCGCAUCUGCUUCUGUUGUCCAGAAUAAAUCUAUGCGCCGAAGGUCCCCGUUCGAUUCGGGGCCGAGCCA
Non-coding RNA from Mycena leptocephala, 89 nucleotides. NCBI's taxonomy places the organism in Eukaryota, Fungi, Basidiomycota, Agaricomycetes, Agaricales, Mycenaceae. The record is from the annotation of a GenBank genome assembly.